CCUACGGGUGGCAGCAGUGGGGAAUAUUGCACAAUGGGGGAAACCCUGAUGCAGCGACGCCGCGUGAGUGAAGAAGUAAUUCGUUAUGUAAAGCUCUAUCAUCAGGGAAGAAAAUGACGGUACCUGAGUAAGAAGCCCCGGCUAACUACGUGCCAGCAGCCGCGGUAAUACGUAGGGGGCAAGCGUUAUCCGGAUUUACUGGGUGUAAAGGGAGCGUAGACGGCAGGUCAAGUCUGGAGUGAAAGGCGGGGGCUCAACCCCCGGACUGCUCUGGAAACUGUACGGCUGGAGUGCAGGAGAGGCAGGGGGAAUUCCGAGGGUAGCGGGGAAAUGCGUAGAU
This 340-nucleotide ribosomal RNA is filed under the name uncultured bacterium. RNAcentral describes it as "partial 16S ribosomal RNA". It matches the Rfam family "Bacterial small subunit ribosomal RNA", at positions 338 to 695 of the family's 1533-position model. The record is from RNAcentral.